Molecule: non-coding RNA, 297 nt
Organism: Pelobates cultripes (western spadefoot toad)
Lineage: Eukaryota; Metazoa; Chordata; Amphibia; Anura; Pelobatidae
Source: the annotation of a GenBank genome assembly
CGCGAAGAGGUCUAUACUGAAAGGACCCCAGAGCCGAGAGAGGCGCUGAAAAAUCAUUGGGUGGAGGUGCCAGUCCCCCGCGUCCCGAAGGUAUCGGGAGUUCCAGUCCGCCAUUGUAUUGUCCUGCCCCGGAAUGUACUCCGCUAUUACUGAAAUGCUGUUUCUCAGGCAAUAGUGCCAAAAAUCUCGAGCCAUCAAAGCGAGAACCUUCGAUUUCGUCCCCCCUAGGUGGUUGAUAUAACGCACCGCUGAGACGUUGUCCAUCUUGAUUAAAAUUUAACAUGAAAUGCCUGUGGG